CCUCUAUUUUUUGGCAUACAUGUAUUUGCUAAGAACUUGUGUAUGUAAUGUACGGAGCUAGAACAAAGCCAGUGCUAUGUCUUCAGUACAAGUGUGUGUUAUCGUCUGCUGGUCCUAUCCUCAAUCGCUGGCACACUU
Small nucleolar RNA from Oncorhynchus kisutch (coho salmon), 138 nucleotides. The record is from Ensembl. NCBI's taxonomy places the organism in Eukaryota, Metazoa, Chordata, Actinopteri, Salmoniformes, Salmonidae.